Molecule: non-coding RNA, 21 nt
Filed under: Arabidopsis thaliana (thale cress)
Lineage: Eukaryota; Viridiplantae; Streptophyta; Magnoliopsida; Brassicales; Brassicaceae
Source: RNAcentral
CGGCAUGCAAAGGUUCGAAUC